RNAcentral lists this ribosomal RNA (393 nucleotides) under Clinopodium vulgare. Its description in RNAcentral is "eukaryotic LSU rRNA". The stretch from base 1 to 143 matches the Rfam family "5.8S ribosomal RNA". Lineage: Eukaryota; Viridiplantae; Streptophyta; Magnoliopsida; Lamiales; Lamiaceae. The record is from RNAcentral.
GGAUAUCUCGGCUCUCGCAUCGAUGAAGAACGUAGCGAAAUGCGAUACUUGGUGUGAAUUGCAGAAUCCCGUGAACCAUCGAGUCUUUGAACGCAAGUUGCGCCCGAAGCCUUUAGGCCGAGGGCACGUCUGCCUGGGCGUCACGCAUCGCGUCGCCCCCAAUCCCCGCGCGCAUCGCCGGGCGGUCGGGGGUGGAGAUUGGCCUCCCGUGCGCCUCGGCGCGCGGCCGGCCCAAAUGGGAUCCCCGGGCGGCUGGCGUCGCGACAAGUGGUGGUUGAACAUCUCAAUCUCUCUCGCGGUCGCGCCGCCGUGCCGUCCCGUACGGGCAUCGAUAAACGACCCAACGGCGGGUGGGCGCGUUCGUUCGCGCCCCCCACCUUCGACCGCGACCCC